ACCUGGGUGGCUCAGUCGGUUGAGCAUCUGACUUCAGCUCAGGUAAUGAUCUCACGGUUUGUGAGUUUGAGCCCCACAUCAGGCU
Molecule: transfer RNA, 85 nt
Filed under: Felis catus (domestic cat)
Lineage: Eukaryota; Metazoa; Chordata; Mammalia; Carnivora; Felidae
Rfam family: tRNA
About the family: Transfer RNA (tRNA) molecules are approximately 80 nucleotides in length. Their secondary structure includes four short double-helical elements and three loops (D, anti-codon, and T loops).
Source: Rfam by way of RNAcentral